UACGUAGGGGGCGAGCGUUGUCCGGAUUCAUUGGGCGUAAAGCGCGGGCAGGCGGCCCGCUCAGUCGGCCGUGAAAGCGCCGGGCUCAACUCGGCGCGGUCGGGCGAUACUGGCGGGCUGGAGGCUGGUAGAGGGCGGUGGAAUUCCGGGUGUAGUGGUGGAAUGCGUAGAGCUCCGGAGGAACACCAGUGGCGAAGGCGACUUCCUGGCCUGUUCUUGACGCUGAGGCGCGAAAGCUAGGGUAGCAAACGGG
RNAcentral lists this ribosomal RNA (253 nucleotides) under uncultured bacterium. Its description in RNAcentral is "partial 16S ribosomal RNA". It matches the Rfam family "Bacterial small subunit ribosomal RNA", at positions 524 to 776 of the family's 1533-position model. The record is from RNAcentral.